Molecule: long non-coding RNA, 1671 nt
Organism: Carassius auratus (goldfish)
Lineage: Eukaryota; Metazoa; Chordata; Actinopteri; Cypriniformes; Cyprinidae
Source: Ensembl
AUGACGCCAAAUGUGCCUCUCGGCGUCGAAUAUCAAAGCACUACGACCUUCAUUGCUUUCAGUGGGAAACUUUUGGCGUCAGAAUUCGACACGAGGACAUUAGAUAUUUAUCGCUAUGAAAUCACGUUCAAGAAGUCUCAUUCAGCACAUCUCAUCAGUUCCACAGUUUGGCUGAGAAGACGUAAAGGAAGCCCAGAGGUGUUUCUGGAGAGGGAUUCCUUCAGAAAUGGAGAAGACAGAAAGCUGCGGAGGCAGAUAUUUGCAGCAGUUUGUUUGCAGAUAAGACUGUAGUUUUCCAUCAUGCAAAAGGACUCACCUCGUUAACUCUUUAUCCCCCGCACACACAGAAAUGGUUCCUGGAUCAGCGAUUAGACAUUGCAGUGGUUUGAUUUUUGCAGAAGAUGUAACUUUGUUUUAAUUAUAAGCUCAUAAUGAAUACAUUACAGAACCAGUGAUGAAAACAAUAGUUAAAAGUAGUAUUUUUCGUAUUGAUAAAGCAUUUUGUUCUGUUCUUCAAGCUUCAUACAGUAAACUUUUUAGACUUUAAUUAAGAGUUUUAGUAAAGGAGAUAUUCAUACACAGUCAUCCCCUAGCUCCAGUCAUGAAGUGAAUUCAUAAUGUUAUUGUCAAAGCUACUAGGUGUUUGUUUUCCUGAACACUUUCUCUGUCUUUCAUUGUUCAGACAAUCAGUGUUUAUUUGAUGCUGUGCUGAUAACAGUUUUAUAGAUGAUAUUGCACACUUGACAUGCAAGUCUUCAUGGUGUUUUUUUGUGAGUUUGAAACAUUUACAUUGUGUUGUAUAACAUUUUGGUCAAUUUAAUUUUUAAGAAAAUUGAUCUUUUUCCAGUGAUCUCUGAAAGAUAUACUGUAUUUACUGUUUUGUUUUUUAAUAAAAGCAUUUUCAUUUGCAUACUGAAAAUAGUUAAUGUUUACAACAUUACUGCCUUUUUAUUCUUUAUGGUGGCAAAAACGAGCUUGGUGACAGAGGAUGCAGUGUAGUAAUUUGGGCAUGUUGUCUUUAAAUGAGUUUGACAUAUCAAUAAAUAAUGGAAGAUCCUUACAAAAAUAUGCAUGUUUAUUAUGCUUUAUGUAUUUAUUUGUUCGUUCAUUCAUUCAUUCAUUCAUUCAUUCAUUCAUUCAUUCAUUCAUUCAUUUAUAAUUUCUGUUUUUAUUCCUAGAGUUCAAAUGGUAGAGAAUGGUAAAUCACAGAAACACAAAUGUGAACAAUUUUAACUUUAAAACACAAUGUAAUAUACAAUGUAAAUUUUAGAAGCACAUCAUUUGAUUAGUAAAUAUAUUUGUCAAUCUAUCCGUUGGAUACAACUGCGACUGCUGGGCAUGUGCACAUCAAUAUUGCCCAAUUUUUGUCAAGCUGAACAACGGAGGAAGGUGAAGACGUUAAUAAAACAGAAUCUAAUAAGUAGCAAGCUUAAUCUAUUGUUAACCGAAUCUAUCCCUUCAGCCGAAAAAACGAAAGACAUCGGUCAUAAAUGUAUAAGGAAGUGUGACACUGCUGCUCAGCUUUGAUGUCAUUGGCUAUGAAUUUUCAGGAGUCUGUGGUUGGACUAUCUUUUAACCCAUAUUAAACAGCGCAUCAUGUUAAAAAGUAUGUUUUGCUCCUAUCAUCACAUUAGUAAUAUAUUAAGUCAACAAUGAAGUGUUGCUAUCUUG